Molecule: long non-coding RNA, 287 nt
Filed under: Salvia miltiorrhiza (redroot sage)
Lineage: Eukaryota; Viridiplantae; Streptophyta; Magnoliopsida; Lamiales; Lamiaceae
Description: long non-coding RNA (SMIL_LNC001319)
Source: RNAcentral
CUUUUAAUUAUGUGAUUUUAAUGAUGUUUUAGGUUUUUUAAAUUUUUAUGUUUUUUUUUUGUGUUUUUAAAUUUUUAUGUAUUUUUUUUUUAUGUUUUAAGUAAUUUUAAAUUUUAUGUUUAAUCCAGUAUUUAAAUAUGCAAUUUAAAUUAUGCAAUAAAAUUUAAAUGAAAAACAUAAAAUCAAAACUAAUAUUAUCAAGUAGGCUAUCAAGGAACCCCAAUGCAGCACUACCUACUCAAUAACACAAAUACUAUCAAGUAGGCUAUCAAGGAGGUUCCAAUGCG